Molecule: ribosomal RNA, 1466 nt
Filed under: uncultured Bordetella sp.
Lineage: Bacteria; Pseudomonadati; Pseudomonadota; Betaproteobacteria; Burkholderiales; Alcaligenaceae
Description: partial 16S-23S ribosomal RNA intergenic spacer
Rfam family: Bacterial small subunit ribosomal RNA
Source: RNAcentral
GUUCGAUUAUGGCUCAGAUUGAACGCUGGCGGGAUGGCUUUACAUGCAAGUCGAACGGCAGCACGGACUUCGGUCUGGUGGCGAGUGGCGAACAGGUGAGUAAUGUAUCGGAACGUGCCUGGUAGCGGGGGACGCUUCGCGGCGUAGCUAAUACCGCAUACGCCCUUCGGGGGAAAAGCGGGGGACCUUCGGGCCUCGCACUAUUAGAGCGGCCGAUAUCGGAUUAGCUAGUUGGUGGGGUAACAGCCACCAAGGCGACGAUCCGUAGCUGGUUUGAGGACGACCAGCCACACUGGGACUGAGACACGGCCCAGACUCCUACCAGGGAGGCAGCAGUGGGGGAAUUUUGGACAAUGGAAGCCCUGAUCCAGCCAUCCCGCGUGUGCGAUGAAGGCCUUCGGGUUGUAAAGCACUUUUGGCAGGAAAGAAACGGCACGGGAUAAUACCCCGUGCAACUGACGGUACCUGCAGAAUAAGCGCAGCUAACUACGUGCCAGCAGCCGCGGUAAUACGUAAGUGCAAGCGUUAAUCGGAAUUACUGGGCGUAAAGCGUGCGCGACGGUUCAGAGAAGAAAAGAUGUGAAAUCCCAGAGCUUAACUUUGGAACUGCAUUUUUAACUACCGAGCUAGAGUGUGUCAGAGAGGAGGUGGAAUUCCGCGAUGUAGCAGUGAAAUGCGUAGAUAUGCGGAGGAACACCGAUGGCGAAGGCAGCCUCCUGGGAUAACGCGACGCUCAUGCACGAAAGCGUGGGGAGCAAACAGGAUUAGAUACCCUGGUAGUCCACGCCUAAACGAUGUCAACUAGCUGUUGGGGCCUUCGGGCCUUGGUAGCGCAACUAACGCGUGAAGUUGACCGCCUGGGGAGUACGGUCGCAAGAUUAAAACUCAAAGGAAUUGACGGGGACCCGCACAAGCGGUGGAUGAUGUGGAUUAAUUCGAUGCAGCGCGAAAACCUUACCUACGCCAGGCGUAUAUCUGGAAUCCCGAAGAGAUUUGGGAGUGCUCGCAAGAGAACCGGAACACAGGUGCUGCAUGGCUGUCGUCAGCUCGUGUCGUGAGAUGUUGGGUUAAGUCCACAACGAGCGCAACCCUUGUCGAUGAUUGCUACGAAAGGGCACUCUAAUGGAACUGCCGGUGACAAACCGGGAGGAAGGUGGGGAUGACGUCAAGUCCUCAUGGCCCUUAUGGGUGAGGCUUCACGUCAUACAAUGGUCGGGACAGGGUCGCCAACCCGCGAAGGGAGCCAAUCCAGAAACCCGAUCGUAGUCCGGAUCGCAGUCUGCAACUCGACUGCGUGAAGUCGGAAUCGCCUAAGUAAUCGCGGAUCAGCAUGUCGCGGUGAAUACGUUCCCGGGUCUUGUACCGCCCGUCACCUGUGGGGUGGGUUUUACCAGAAGUAGUUAGCCUAACCGUAAGGAGGGCGAUUACACCGAUGGAUUCAUGACUGGUGAAGUCGUAACAGGUAA